RNAcentral lists this ribosomal RNA (494 nucleotides) under uncultured bacterium. RNAcentral describes it as "partial 16S ribosomal RNA". It matches the Rfam family "Bacterial small subunit ribosomal RNA", at positions 28 to 507 of the family's 1533-position model. The record is from RNAcentral.
GACGAACGCUGGCGGCGUGCUUAACACAUGCAAGUCGAACGGAAAGGCCUGCUUUCCCUUGUGGAUUGCGGGUACUCGAGUGGCGAACGGGUGAGUAACACGUGAGUGAUCUGCCCCCAACUUGGGUAUAAGCCUGGGAAACUGGGUCUAAUUCCCGAUAGGACUGCAGGGUGGUGCCUGUGGUGGAAAACGAUUUUCUAGUGGUUGGGGAUGAGCUCGCGGCCUAUCAGCUUGUUGGUGGGGUAAUGGCCUACCAAGGCGGCGACGGGUAGCCGGCCUGAGAGGGUGGACGGCCACAUUGGGACUGAGAUACGGCCCAGACUCCUACGGGAGGCAGCAGUGGGGAAUAUAGCACAAUGGGCGGAAGCCUGAGGCAGCGACGCCGCGUGGAGGAUGACGGCCUUCGGGUGGUAAACUCCUUUCGACCGCGAGGAAGCCACCUGGUUGGAAGGGUGGUGACGGUAGUGGUAGAAGAAGCACCGGCUAACUACGUG